This 817-nucleotide ribosomal RNA is filed under the name uncultured Planctomycetota bacterium. RNAcentral's name for it is "bacterial SSU rRNA". It matches the Rfam family "Bacterial small subunit ribosomal RNA", at positions 71 to 896 of the family's 1533-position model. Lineage: Bacteria; Pseudomonadati; Planctomycetota. The record is from RNAcentral.
CUUUCGGGGCAACUCGGAAGUGAGUGGCGAAAGGGGCAGUAAGGCAUGGGUAACGUACCCCCUGGUCUGGGAUAGCCUCGGGAAACUGAGGGUAAUACCGGGUAAAGUGUAGGCGUCGCAUGGCGCUCGCACCAGAGGUCAGCCGCCGGGGGAGCGGCCCAUGUAGUAUUAGCUAGUUGGCGGGGUAACGGCCCACCAAGGCAAAGAUGCUUAGCGGGUGUGAGAGCACGACCCGCGCCACUGGCACUGAGACACUGGCCAGACUCCUACGGGAGGCUGCAGUCGAGGAUCUUCGGCAAUGGGCGCAAGCCUGACCGAGCGACGCCGCGUGUGCGAUGAAGGCCUUCGGGUUGUAAAGCACUUUGGCGGGGGAGGAAGGCCCGAAAGGGUUUGACCUAUCCCGAGAACAAGCACGGGCUAAGUUCGUGCCAGCAGCCGCGGUAAGACGAACCGUGCGAACGUUGUUCGGAAUCACUGGGCUUAAAGGGCGCGUAGGCGGGCGAUCAAGUCGGGGGUGAAAUCUUUCGGCUCAACCGGAAAAUAGCCUUCGAUACUGGUCGUCUGGAGGGAGGUAGGGGCGUGUGGAACUUCCGGUGGAGCGGUGAAAUGCGUUGAUAUCGGAAGGAACUCCGGUGGCGAAAGCGACACGCUGGAUCUCAUCUGACGCUGAGGCGCGAAAGCCAGGGGAGCGAACGGGAUUAGAUACCCCGGUAGUCCUGGCCCUAAACGAUGGGUACUGGGUAGUGGACUUGACAUGGGUUCACUGCCGAAGCGAAAGUGGUAAGUACCCCGCCUGGGGAGUAUGGUCGCAAGGCUG